Long non-coding RNA from Medicago truncatula (barrel medic), 746 nucleotides. RefSeq lists it as uncharacterized. The record is from RefSeq and is a predicted model, not a curated record. The transcript has 2 exons. NCBI's taxonomy places the organism in Eukaryota, Viridiplantae, Streptophyta, Magnoliopsida, Fabales, Fabaceae.
GCAACAACAUCCUCACACUUGACGGCUCACUCUCUUUCCCUCAGUUUUCACUUUUGGCCUCUCCCUCAAAGUCAUGCCAAGAAAUUCUCCAUUUUAUUGUCAUGAGCAAAAUCACACUAACACAUUCUUUCAUCUAAUUACAUAGAACAUGAUAGAUAAGUAACACUCUUCCUCUUUUUCUUUUGUCGUGAGUUGAGAGAGAAGAAAGGUGGGAAAUUUUUUGAAUUGCUUAGGAAAUACUAAAAGAAGGUCAAGAUGGAAGUAUGGGGAAUAUGUGAGCUUAAAAAUUUGUUUUAUCUUUCAAUUGUGUGUGUUAUUCAAACCCUAAAGGGUCAAAUCUUGGUGCUUUUAGUUGAAAGGAAUUAAACUCAUUCAUUCGCUUGGAACUCUUUGAGUUUGCUGCAACGAAGAGAUAAUGCAGUCUAUGAGUUAUAUGCUCAUAGUGAAAAUAGAGAUAAUUACCGUUCGCUGCAACGAAGAGAGAAUGCAGCCUAUGAAUUAAACGCUCGUAGUGAUUUGAUAUGAUUACUAUUCCCUACAACGAAGAGAUAAUGCAGCCUAUGAGUCAAGCACUCGUAGUAUAUUCAAAUUGAAAUAGGCGUCGUCUGAUGCAAUGAAGCGAUAAUACAUCCCACGUGCUAUAUAUGCUCGUAGAUACCGUUCACCACAACGAAGAGACAAUGUGGUUUAUGUGAACAUAAAUGAGAUAAAUGAUAUGAGAUAUGACAAGCUUAUUGUUUUCAAAA